This 255-nucleotide ribosomal RNA is filed under the name uncultured bacterium. Its description in RNAcentral is "partial 16S ribosomal RNA". It matches the Rfam family "Bacterial small subunit ribosomal RNA", at positions 15 to 263 of the family's 1533-position model. The record is from RNAcentral.
GAUCAUGGCUCAGGAUGAACGCUAGCUACAGGCUUAACACAUGCAAGUCGAGGGGCAUCAGGAAGAAAGCUUGCUUUCUUUGCUGGCGACCGGCGCACGGGUGAGUAACACGUAUCCAACCUACCCUUUACUCGGGGAUAGCCUUUCGAAAGAAAGAUUAAUACCCGAUGGCAUAAUGAUUCCGCAUGGUUUCAUUAUUAAAGGAUUCCGGUAAAGGAUGGGGAUGCGUUCCAUUAGGUUGUUGGUGAGUAACGG